Long non-coding RNA from Homo sapiens (human), 714 nucleotides. Ensembl annotates it as long intergenic non-protein coding RNA 1102. NCBI's taxonomy places the organism in Eukaryota, Metazoa, Chordata, Mammalia, Primates, Hominidae. The record is from Ensembl.
GAAUCCCCACUGGCCAGGAGUCAGAGAACCAAGCAGGGACAAGAACACUGUAGGAGAAUCUGGCCCCAUUUAAUCCGCAGUACCCUGCCAGAAAAAGAAGGAGAGGCUGAUCCCCAGUAAGAGGGAACAGAGUGGCACCCACAAAUACGGAAUGAAGACAUUUGGAGAAGAAGCGUUUACUGAAAGGAGAUUCCUGGGCUGGAGGAAAACCAUGAUCUACAGUUCAUGUUGACAGAUAUUGUAUUUUUGGUCCUAGAUCUGACUUUUGAAAUGACUUAUCACAAAUUCAAAUUUAGCAAUCAUGAGUGAAGUACCCACGAUGUGCUAAGCAUCUACCUCUGCAGAUAGAAGAACACUUACUGUUCCUGAGCAUGGGAGGGAAUAGAAGUUCCUGGGUCCUGGCCUCACCUCAUCAGGCACUGCCAAAUUUGACACCUCCUUCCUGUUCACGGCAGUCCUUUGCGAUAGGGUAUUAGAUGCCACCAAGUAGCUGCAUAACUCACCCAUUUGGUCAGAGCCUGGGUCUAAGCCAGGUCUGACAGACUCCAAAGCAAGCCCUGUUUACAGCAUGACUGGGAUCCAGUGGGUAAGACCAACCUGUCAAUGCCCAAGUGCAGAUGCAAUAAUAGUGCUUCAACUGAUUGUUGCAAACCCCUCAUGAGGGAUGCCAAAUCCCAGUGCAGAUGGUAACACAGGCUAUUUUUCACCUCCAAC